UACGAAGGGGGCUAGCGUUGUUCGGAUUUACUGGGCGUAAAGCGCACGUAGGCGGGUACUUAAGUCAGGGGUGAAAUCCUGGAGCUCAACUCCAGAACUGCCUUUGAUACUGGGUAUCUCGAGUCCGGAAGAGGUGAGUGGAACUCCUAGUGUAGAGGUGGAAUUCGUAGAUAUUAGGAAGAACACCAGUGGCGAAGGCGGCUCACUGGUCCGGUACUGACGCUGAGGUGCGAAAGCGUGGGGAGCAAACAGG
RNAcentral lists this ribosomal RNA (253 nucleotides) under uncultured bacterium. RNAcentral describes it as "partial 16S ribosomal RNA". It matches the Rfam family "Bacterial small subunit ribosomal RNA", at positions 524 to 776 of the family's 1533-position model. The record is from RNAcentral.